Molecule: long non-coding RNA, 274 nt
Organism: Orcinus orca (killer whale)
Lineage: Eukaryota; Metazoa; Chordata; Mammalia; Artiodactyla; Delphinidae
Exons: 3
Source: RefSeq, a predicted model, not a curated record
AGGUGCGCUGCGGGGGCGGGGGCGGGGCGGGGCCUGCCCUCCCGGCCCCGUGCCCCGCGCUCUCACUCGGACCGGGAGCCCGCGACAGACUGGACACGCCGGGGCCGCUGCGUCUCCAGCGAUCGCCAGGCUGACCUAACGCUCCUCCUCCUAGUCAGAGCCAAGAAAAGGACAUUAAAAAGAAGAAGGAAAGCGGGCCUGACAGUGAGGUGAAGAAUCCACCAAAUUUUGUGAAGGAAAGAUUGAAGCUUUUUGAAAUACUGAAGAAAGAUCA